Molecule: ribosomal RNA, 429 nt
Filed under: bacterium
Lineage: Bacteria
Description: partial 16S ribosomal RNA
Rfam family: Bacterial small subunit ribosomal RNA
Source: RNAcentral
UGGGGAAUCUUCCGCAAUGGACGAAAGUCUGACGGAGCAACGCCGCGUGAGUGAUGACGGCCUUCGGGUUGUAAAGCUCUGUUAAUCGGGACGAAUGGUUCUUGUGCAAAUAGUGCGAGGAUUUGACGGUACCGGAAUAGAAAGCCACGGCUAACUACGUGCCAGCAGCCGCGGUAAUACGUAGGUGGCAAGCGUUGUCCGGAAUUAUUGGGCGUAAAGCGCGCGCAGGCGGAUUGGUCAGUCUGUGUUAAAAGUUCGGGGCUUAACCCAGUGAUGGGAUGGAAACUGCCAAGCUAGAGUAUCGGAGAGGAAAGUGGAAUUCCUAGUGUAGCGGUGAAAUGCGUAGAUAUUAGGAAGAACACCAGUGGCGAAGGCGACUUUCUGGACGAAAACUGACGCUGAGGCGCGAAAGCCAGGGGAGCGAACGGG